GACGAACGCUGGCGGCGUGCUUAACACAUGCAAGUCGAACGAUGAAGCCUAGCUUGCUAGGUGGAUUAGUGGCGAACGGGUGAGUAAUACGUGAGUGACCUACCUUUGACUCUGGGAUAAGCCUGGGAAACUGGGUCUAAUACCGGAUACGACCAAUCUCUGCAUGGGGUGUUGGUGGAAAGCGUUAUGGAGUGGUUUUAGAUGGGCUCACGGCCUAUCAGCUUGUUGGUGAGGUAAUGGCUUACCAAGGCGACGACGGGUAGCCGGCCUGAGAGGGUGACCGGCCACACUGGGACUGAGACACGGCCCAUACUCCUACGGGAGGCAGCAGUGGGGAAUAUUGCACAAUGGGCGCAAGCCUGAUGCAGCGACGCCGCGUGAGGGAUGACG
This 390-nucleotide ribosomal RNA is filed under the name Rothia dentocariosa. Its description in RNAcentral is "bacterial SSU rRNA". It matches the Rfam family "Bacterial small subunit ribosomal RNA", at positions 28 to 413 of the family's 1533-position model. The record is from RNAcentral. Lineage: Bacteria; Bacillati; Actinomycetota; Actinomycetes; Micrococcales; Micrococcaceae.